Molecule: ribosomal RNA, 253 nt
Filed under: uncultured bacterium
Lineage: Bacteria
Description: partial 16S ribosomal RNA
Rfam family: Bacterial small subunit ribosomal RNA
Source: RNAcentral
UACGUAGGGGGCAAGCGUUGUCCGGAUUUAUUGGGCGUAAAGCGCUCGCAGGUGGUUCGUCGCGUCGUGCGUGAAAGACCCCGGCUCAACUGGGGGAGGUCGUGCGAUACGGGCGGACUGGAGGCCAGUAGGGGGAUGCGGAAUUCCGGGUGUAGUGGUGGAAUGCGUAGAGAUCCGGAGGAACACCAGCGGCGAAGGCGGCCUUCUGGACCAAUACUGACGCUCAUGCACGAAAGCGUGGGGAGCAAACAGG